GAUGAACGCUGGCGGCGUGCCUAAUACAUGCAAGUCGAGCGAACAGAUAAGGAGCUUGCUCCUUUGACGUUAGCGGCGGACGGGUGAGUAACACGUGGGUAACCUACCUAUAAGACUGGGAUAACUUCGGGAAACCGGAGCUACUACCGGAUAACAUUUGGAACCGCAUGGUUCUCAAGUGAAAGAUGGUUUUGCUAUCACUUAUAGAUGGACCCGCGCCGUAUUAGCUAGUUGGUAAGGUAACGGCUUACAAAGGCGACGAUAGAUAGGCGACGUGGGAGGGUGAUCGGCAACACUGGAACUGAGACACGGUCCAGACUCCUACGGGAGGCAGAAGUAGGGAAUCUUCCGCAAUGGGCGAAAGCCUGACGGAGCAACGCCGCGUGAGUGAUGAAGGGUUUCGGCUCGUAAAACUCUGUUAUUAGGGAAGAACAAACGUGUAAGUAACUGGGCACGUCUUGACGGUACCUAAUCAGAAAGCCACGGCUAACUACGUGCCAGCAGCCGCCGUAA
This 513-nucleotide ribosomal RNA is filed under the name uncultured bacterium. Its description in RNAcentral is "partial 16S ribosomal RNA". It matches the Rfam family "Bacterial small subunit ribosomal RNA", at positions 28 to 523 of the family's 1533-position model. The record is from RNAcentral.